RNAcentral lists this ribosomal RNA (1365 nucleotides) under Mustilizans eitschbergeri. Its description in RNAcentral is "16S ribosomal RNA". The record is from RNAcentral. Lineage: Eukaryota; Metazoa; Arthropoda; Insecta; Lepidoptera; Endromidae.
GGGGGCAAAUUAAUAAUUUGAAGAAUAAUAAAAAAAAUUUUAAUAUUAUAAUAAUUUAAUGGGGGUUAAAGUAUUUUUAAUAGAAAAAAUUUAAAUUUUUAUAAUGGAAUAGUAUUGUGAAAGAAUUUUGAAAUAUUUUGAAAUUAAAUUAAUUAAAAAGUAAAUUUAAUUUAUUGUAUCUUGGGUAUCAGAGUUUAUUAAAAAUUUUUUAUUGUUUAAUAAAUUUCUCGAAUUUAAAAGAGAUAAUUAGUUAAAAAAGUUAUUGUUGUAUAAAUAUUUUUAAUAAUUAAUUUGAAAUGAAAUGUUAAUCGUUUUUAAAUAUAUCUAGUUUUUUUAGAAUAAAAUUUAAUUUUCAAUUUUUAUUUAAAAUUUAUUAAUUAAUUUAAUUUAUUUUGAUAUAAAAUUUUAUAUUUUAGGGGAUAAGCUUUAAAUUAAAUUUUUAUAAUAAUUUUUAUUUAUUUAAAAUUUUUAUAAUUUAUAUUGUUAAUAAAUUAUAUUUUAUUAUAAAUAAUUUUAUUAAAUUUAAAAUUUAAUUUAAUAUUUAAUUUUUUAUAAAAAAAUAAAUUAUAAUUUUUUAAUAUUUAAAUAUUAUGAUAAAAUUAGUAUAUAAAUAAAAUUAAUUAAAUUAUUUAAUUUUAAUUUAAAUUAAUUUAAAGGAAUUCGGCAAAAUUUUAUAUUCACUUGUUUAUCAAAAACAUGUCUUUUUGGGAAUAAUUUAAAGUCUAAUCUGCCCACUGAUAUUAAUUAAAGGGCUGCAGUAUUUUGACUGUACAAAGGUAGCAUAAUCAUUAGUCUCUUAAUUGGUGACUUGUAUGAAAGAUUGGAUGAGAUAUAUACUGUCUUUAAUUUAUAUUAUUGAAUUUAAUUUUUUCGUUAAAAAGCUCAAAUAAAUUAAAAAGACGAGAAGACCCUAUAGAGUUUUAUAAUUUUUAAAAAUUAAUUUUAUUUAUAAAUUUUUUGAUUUUAAUUUAUGGAAAUUAUUUUAUUGGGGUGAUAAAAAAAUUAAAAAAACUUUUUUUAAAAAAUUUCAUUAAUAAGUGAUUAAAUGAUCCAAUUUUAUUGAUUAUAAGAUUAAAUUACCUUAGGGAUAACAGCGUAAUUUUUUUUUUUAGUUCAAAUAAAAAAAAAAGUUUGCGACCUCGAUGUUGGAUUAAGAUAAAAUUUAUAUGCAAAAGUAUAAAAUUUUGAUCUGUUCGAUCAUUAAAAUCUUACAUGAUCUGAGUUCAAACCGGUGUAAGCCAGGUUGGUUUCUAUCUUUUGAAAAAGAAAUAUUUUAGUACGAAAGGAUCAAAUAUUUUAAUUAAAUUAUUUAAUAAUUGAAUUUUAUUAAUUUUUAAUAAAAAAUUUUUUUUUAAUUUAGUAGAA